UUCACAGUUCGUCGGCAGUUGCUGUGUAGCACAGAAGGUCCUGCGCUGGGAUGUGGGCAAUUUCAUAACUGCCAACAUGGGCUACGGCUUUGGUCUCAUGCUGGCUGUGCUCAUCUCAGGACCAUCUGGCUCACAUCUGAAUCCAGCAGUGACAUUAGCAUUUUGUGUCAUUGGUAAAAAGCCAUGGAAGGAUUGUCUACAUUAUUUUCCAGCGCAGUACCUUGGUUGCUUUUUAGGUGCAGCAUUUGCAUAUAUUGUGUACCUUGGAAUUCUCAUGCUCUUGCUUUGUCAUAUGGGAGCUUGUUGAUGACCUUUGCCCAAGAAUAUAGAACCCAAGUCUGAACAUGGGACAAAAAGAGAUGCUUUGUACAAUUUUGAUCAUGGAGAUCGUCAGGUGACUGGUCCCCUUGGUACUGCUGGUAUUUUUACUACUUACCCAGCACCUUACUUAUCACUUGUUGGAGCAUUCAUAAAUGAGGUGAUGGCUACAUUUGUAUUGCUGCUAGUGAUUUGUGCAAUAAUAGAUGAAAAUAACUGUGGAAUAACUCCAGCUCUGAUACCUCUAUACAUUGGAAUACUUAUUGUAACAAUCGGUAAUGGUUUCUCUGCAAACACUGGCUCUGCUUUAAAUCCAGCUCGUGAUCUUGGUCCUCGAAUUUUUGUUACUAUUGCUGGCUGGGGCACAGAAGCAUUUGUGUAUGCUAAUUACUGGUGGGUACCAAUUGCUGGUCCCCAUCUUGGAGGUAUUUUAGGAGCACUUUUUUAUGUAUUCUUUGUGGAAAUGCAUCACAACAAGAGUUAAUAGGAUCAUUAAAGGUCCACACGCUACAAACAGCAGUAGAUUUGGCUCCUGAUUUGAAAAUACACCAGCAUAAUUUUGUGUGUGCACCUGCACUUGUGAAUACACAAAUGACAAAUUUUGUGAGAAGUCAAUCAAAGAGCAUAUACUGCAGCACUGAAUCUCACAGAAAGUGUUCAACUACUCAGGAAUAUAUUUAUAUACUACUGAAAUCUUAUUUCAUAUAAUAUAACUAGCCAAUAGAAUGAAAUGUACAACUUCUAAGACAGGUUAUAUAUGCAAACUUCUUCUGAGAAUUUUGCUUAUGAACUAAUAGGAAAUAUUAGACAUUUCAAAUAUUUAAUGAUUUUAAU
Molecule: long non-coding RNA, 1152 nt
Organism: Schistocerca serialis cubense
Lineage: Eukaryota; Metazoa; Arthropoda; Insecta; Orthoptera; Acrididae
Exons: 7
Source: RefSeq, a predicted model, not a curated record